CCCACAGCAACUUUCAAAAUAAGAUGCAUAAUUAGACAGGUUUCUUCUUCCCCUUAUCUGUUUAAUAAACAUAUUUCUUAGGUAUAUUUAUAGCUAUUUUUAUUUUGAGAAUGCUUUCAGAGAAGUGUUUAGAAUAAAUGAAUUAAGAAAUAAGUUUUUAUAAGAUACCUUUUAAGCCAUGAAGUUUUUCUUUCUUCUUUAUUAAGACCCCCCCCACAAAAAAAAAAAAAACACCAAAACCAAACAAACAAACAAACGAAAACCAGAAAAUGUACCUGCAUUUCUAUGACACACAGACAUAACUUUUAACUAGGCAGCUCAAGUAUAACUAAAAUUAAUACAGCAGAUACAAAAAAUACAUUUUAUCUGAAACCAUUAACAAAACAAACAAACAAAAAGAACACCAAACCACAGGAGAAAUACUCAGGUAGUUAAAUGAAGUGCAGGGAGCUAGGAAGAGAGAACUAGCCAUCCUACAUUGUAACUAUAAGAAGAAUCAUUACAGCAUUAACAGCAGUAUAGAUACACAUAGUAACUACCUCAGUUUGGCAUAAUAACAACUAGAACAGGAAAAAAAAAAAAGUAGUGAAAUGAGAAUAAGAAAAAUGAAGAAAGGAGACAGUUUUAAUUAAUUAAAUUUGUUUGUUCUAUAUAUAAAAAUACUACCUUACCUACUCAGAAAAUAGAAACAUCCUCCACAACUCAUCUUGUUUCAGACCUACUAAGGACAUAAGCAUGCUCACAGCAACUAUCCAUUAGCUGCAGCCAGCUCAGCUUCAGCUAAUUUAAAGAAUCACAAGCACAGCAGUAUGAAAUCAACAGAACUUAAGACAACUGAAAGUACUUCAACUGUGUAAGAGUCCAGGGUUGUACAACACAGGAAGAAACUUCUGGCUACUUAAAUGGCUACUUUGCGUGCUGACCAGCUUCUAACCAGCUUCUUACCCAUUGAAAUGUGAACUUGGGAUGACAACUCUUGAGCUGAAAAUGUUAGCAUAUAGGAGAGAUUGCAAAAGCAGAUCUGCUGUUUUGCACAAAUGACUUCCUUAUCAGCUUACCAUACCAGUUUAUAACUGAACAGAAACGGAAUGAAGGCCAAUCUGUGAGGAAAGAUGGAUGGCUCAGAACAGAAUCAAAGUACGUCUUUCAUCAAGCAGCUGGUCCUGCCCCAUCAGUGCUUUAUCCAAUUAAGAAAGCUCAAAGUGAGCUGAACUUCACUAGAAGUAUUCCUUUAAUAAUUACUACGUCACAUGAUAUUCCUAGUAGCUUAGAAGCCGCAAGUAUCAGCUUAAUGUGUUACAAAAUCAGGAGCUGCUUUAUUAAAGUCUUUAGAUCAAGGCAACUUUUCACAAAUCACUCUGGUGCUUCAGAAAAAUACCCAUCACAGGCUGCUGGGCAAAGAGGCUGAAGAAUCUCCCCAAAAAGCAUUUGAAAGAUCAUUCUGAGAUACUGCUCUGACUUGGGCAUAAUAAAUGUAUGCUACCCAAAUGAGGUGGUAGAGGU
RNAcentral lists this long non-coding RNA (1503 nucleotides) under Anas platyrhynchos platyrhynchos (common mallard). RNAcentral's name for it is "lncRNA (ENSAPLG00000028083.1)". The record is from RNAcentral. Lineage: Eukaryota; Metazoa; Chordata; Aves; Anseriformes; Anatidae.